This 841-nucleotide ribosomal RNA is filed under the name Corynebacterium variabile. RNAcentral's name for it is "bacterial SSU rRNA". It matches the Rfam family "Bacterial small subunit ribosomal RNA", at positions 623 to 1449 of the family's 1533-position model. Lineage: Bacteria; Bacillati; Actinomycetota; Actinomycetes; Mycobacteriales; Corynebacteriaceae. The record is from RNAcentral.
GCUUGCGAUACUGGGCAUAACUUGAGUGCUGUAGGGGAGACUGGAAUUCCUGGUGUAGCGGUGAAAUGCGCAUAUAUCAAGAAGAACACCGAUGGCGAACGCAUGUCUCUGGGCAGUAACUGACGCUGAGGAGCGAAAGCGUGGGAAGCGAACAGGUAUUAUAUACCCUGUGUACUCCAUGCCGUACACGGUAGGGCGCUAGGUGUGGGGGUCUUCCACCACUUCUGUGCCGUAACUAACGCAUUACGCGCCCCGCCUGGGAGAGUACGGGCGCAAGGCUAACACUCAAAGGAAUUGACGGGGGCCCGCACAAGCGGCGGAGCGUGUGGUAUUAAUCUCAGAUGCCACGCAAAAGAACCUUACCUGGGCUUGACAUAUGCCAGCGAUCCGCGCAGAGAUGCUUUUUCCCUUGUGGUCAGUAUACAGGUGGUGCAUGGUUGUCGUCAGCUCGUGUCGUGAGAUGUUGGGUUAAGUCCCGCAACGAGCGCAACCCUUGUCUUGUGUUGCCAGCACGUUAUGGUGGGGACUCGCGAGAGAGUGCCGGGGUUAACUCAGAAGAAGGUGGGGAUGACGUCAAAUCAUCAUGCCCCUUAUGUUGAGGGCUUCACACAUGCUACAAUGGUCGGUACAGUGGGUUGCUACACCGUGAGGUGGUGCUAAUCCCUUAAAGCCGGUCUCAGCUCAGAUUGGAGUCUGCCUCUCCACUCCAUGAAGUCAGACUCUCUAGUAAUCGCAUAUCACCCACGCUGCGAUGAAUACGUUCCCGGGUCUUGUACACACCGCCCGUCACGUCAUGAUAAGUGGCAACACCCGAAGCCAGUGGACCAACAUCGUACGGAGC